Molecule: long non-coding RNA, 993 nt
Filed under: Chrysolophus pictus (golden pheasant)
Lineage: Eukaryota; Metazoa; Chordata; Aves; Galliformes; Phasianidae
Description: lncRNA (ENSCPIG00010009784.1)
Source: RNAcentral
AAUUAUUGGAGGCUCUAACCUGCCUUUAAAUGAGCUUAUCUAAAUAUGAACUGCAGGUUUAGCUUUAAGCUGGUGCUGUUGUUAAAUAUUCGUGGUCAAAUAUUCAGAAAACAUAAAAUCAUAGAGUGGAUUAGUGGUUAGGACCUUAAAACCCAUCCAGUUCCACCCCCUGCCAUGGGCUGGGUUGCCAUGAAUGCAUCUUUCAAGCUAUGGUCCCAGGAAUGAAUCAUUCUAAAUUUAAGCCUAAUUAUUCACAGUAGAUUCAUCAAAGUGCAUUACAGCCCAACGCUUCUGUUAAGCAGCACAAACCCAAGCACUGACAAACAGAAGUAGAAACAAAGUGAGUUACCACUGAGAUGUGCAGCACGACUGCCUUCUUGUGCAAAACGGAACCAAACUUAGCUUAAAAUGCCACGAAAAUGGCUCAGCCCAAAAAUGAUUGUGGGGUUUUGCAAUUUGUGCAUUGUUGGGAGUCCAUGCUCACGAAACAAGUAGUUCAGUGGUGUGCAGCUAUCUGAAAUGCAGCAUUAAUUCUGGCACUAAGUGAUGGAGUCAGCAACUGAUGCAAUUCUGCAGUAUUAACAGGCCUGCUUAUGGAAAGCUGCAGUGCAAUGGGGAAGGACUUCUGAGUAGGAGCAUGGAAGAGAUCACCAGGAACAAGUGCUGUGAUGUGACAGACCCUCGUUUUCACCAACCAAGAUGCAGCUCUGUUAGGGGAUGCCUGGUUUUCAACAAGCUCUGCAGACUGCAGUUGCAAUGGCUCAGCUUCUUCUCCCUAGAAGCCCCUCUCCUGGUCCCAUAUGACGAGGCUGUGGCCAUCGUUUGACUUACUUCAUGAAAGGAAAACUGGCAUUUAAAGUUAAAGGCACGGGAUCAGCGUUACCUGCAUGUGACAACCCCGGAGGACACCGACUGAGAGGCAGAGCUCUCCUGCACUGCUUUCCUCCCACCCCACUUUUUUUUAGGAAGGGAGAGAAGGAAUUAUUAUUUUUU